GUGUUACGGAAAGUCGGUGGAGAGAGAGAGAGAGAGAGAGAGAGAGAGAGAGAGAGAGAAGGAGUCAGAAUUCAGAAAUAUAUUUCAGGUUUGUUUCAUAGAGAGCUUUUUUAAGGCUACAGAGAGACAGACAGAGAGGGGUAAGGGAAAAAAAAAAAAAAUACAUUGGUGAAUCUGAGUGGCAAUGGCGGUGCUGAAGCUCAUGCGCGCUUCAAGCAGUACGAGUACAGAGCCAACGCUAGCCUCGUCCUCACCUCUGACUCUCGCCGGCUCGAAACCGACGAGCCAACCGGUGAGGCAGAGUCACUCUGGGGAAAAAUUGAUCCCAAAACCUUCGGAGACGGAGUUUCCAGAGUAAAGCUGACAUUGAUGAAGAAAAGGAAGGAGCUUGACCAACCCGAAAGUGUGCUUUCCACCGGAAGACAAAGAAGCAGCGGCGAGUACUUAGCGAAGAGAGUGUUCUCAGUGCCUUCGAUGGAGGCCUAUACAAGUCCAUGACAGACAAGACAGAAGCUGUUUACAAUCUCGUGCUCGAUAUCAUUCAGAGACAGUUGGGAGGAUACCCUGACAGUGUUCUUUACUGUGCAGCAGAUUAGGUCUUGGCCGUGCUGAAGAAUACGAGAAUCAAGAGCUUUGACAAGAAAAAGGAAAUUGAGAAGUUGAAUUUCAAGAAGAUGAGGAUGAUGAGGAGGGAGUGAGUGAUCUUGAUAUGGUCCAUGAGGAUGACGAUGAGGAUGAUGAUGAUGAUGAUGUUGACAAUGGUGUGGCCGAACCCGCGACUCUGGAAGUGGGAGGCGGGAUUGAUGAUGAUGAUAAUGAUGAUAUGAAGGAGGCUAAUAAUGGAAGCAUGAGCCUAAUUGAUGCAUAUUGGCUUCAGAGGAAAAUUUCUCAAGCUUAUAAUGAUCAAGAGCAGGUACUGGAUCCACAGCAAUGCCAAAGGCUUGCAGAAAAGGUUAUUGGGAUUCUUGCUAAUAUUGGUGAUGAUGACAGAGAGGUUGAAAACAAGCUGUUGAAGGAAUUACAGUUUGAUAAAUUCAGCCUCAUUAAGUUCCUGCUUCUUAACCGGCAAAGCAUUGCCUGGUGCACCCUUUUGGCAAGGGCUCAAAACCAAAAGGAAAAAAAUUGAGGAGACCAUGAUCCUCUUGGACCGUCCUGAUUUGGAUGCAAUUCUGAAUCAGUUGCAUGCUACGAGGGCAACGCCAAAAGAGAGGCAAAGGAAGUUGGAGAAGACUAUUAGAGACGAGGCUCGUCGUUUGAAAGGUAGCAACCGAAAGGUUAGUAGUAGUGCUGGUGUUGCUGAUAGAGAUAAUAAACAUGCAGAGAGUGGUUGGUUUAAAGAACAAUGCAAGUUGCUUGAUCUUGAUAGUCUUGCAAAACAAGGUAGUCUUUCUUCAGACCAUAAGUGCACACUUCCAGCUGGGUCUUACAGGCGCUAUAUAUGGAAAUGGUUAUGAAGAAGUAUAUGUGCCUGCGUUCAAACCGAAACCACUCGAUCCCAAUGAGAAACCUGUAAACGUAUCCGACAUGCCUACUUGGGCGUAACCGGCUUUUAAUGGAAUGAACCAGUUGACUAGGACACAAAGUAGAGUUUAUGAGACUGCACUUUUUCAGGCAGAUAAUAUUCUGCUGCAUUGUAUGCACAUAUACGUACGCCAUUGGAAAUAUGAUCAGGUGAGAAAUUAUGAUAUGGUAGAAAAAGUGUUCCUGGGCAUUAUUAGGAAUCAUUUUUUCUUCUUUUUGACCAUGUGAAAAACACAAAUUUCGACUUUGUCUAGACUUUAGAAACCCACCCAGUAAAAUCUACAUGAUUUGGUAAAAUGAAAUUAUAUUUUAAAGCUUCAAAAUCUUGCAUGGUUCAUUAUUUGAACAGCUGCAUGCCCUUCAAAUCAAAAUCUUCUAGUAGCUCUCAUUUUUUUAACGUUGAAUUAUAGACAAUGAUUAUUUAGUUUGAUGUGAUCAUAAUUCAUGAUAACCAGCUGGCUUUUUAUUUUAUUUAUUAAUUAAUUUCAUUAAAUGUAGCCGAGAACAGAAGCUCUAGUGCAUACUUAGACUCUGCCAUGAUAACAUGUUUAUCGAUAAUUAAUUUUCAAGUUUUUUAGUAAUUACAAGACAAUUUCCGGAACGCAUAAUUUGAAAGUUCAUUAAUACCUUUAAUAUUUUUUGAGGGUAAGAAUUUUUUUUUUUUUAUCCCCAAAUCCUAAGGGCCCAAAUGAAAGAGACCUUGCAACAAAUAAACUAAACAAACUCCAUCCAAUUACCAAGCCUCUCACUCUUUCAUGCAUUGAUUCCUUGUGGUUAGGUAAAGAAAAGUAAGCCUGAUACUCAAAACUCUUAUAUUCUCUCUCUGGAGCAAUUCAAGACUUAGUAUAGUUUUCUCCCACUUGCUGUUUAGCCUUUCUUUUUCCUCCCCAUUUUCAUUAAUUAAUGAAUUGUUUUUCCAGUAAAGGACUUUGACAAUUCCAGUCCCUUAGUAAAGAUGAAUUCGGGUGAUCUAUAUGGCAGCAAAAUCACACACAAGAAAAGCACAUUAUAGCUACAGCUAAUAGUGAGAGAGAUCAAAAUGAGGCAAAGAUUCUUAGUCUCUGAACUGGUAGUUGUAGUAGUUUUUGGAGUUGAUUUUCUUGGUUUUUGCAAUGGAGGGAAGUUGGUGAAAAGCUUUUAUAAGGAGAGUUGUCCUAAUGCAGAGCAAAUUGUGGGAGACAUCACUUGGAAGCAUGUUGCAAGCAAAUCAUCUUUGCCUGCAUUUCCAUGAUUGUUUUGUGAGGGUAUGUAUAUUUCACAUAUCAUUAUUAGUCGUUAAAAAAAAAAUGUUAUUACUAUUUGUCACCAUUAGUAAUAAUAAUAGAUGGUUUAUUAAACUGUAAUGUCAUUAUCUUUAUCAAUAUGUCAUUGUUCAUGUAGUACUUGUGAUUUUUUUUUCCUUAACUAUUUUGCUAAAAUGUUAUUAAUUUUUAACAAAUUCUUUCUGUGUGAUUUGGAUUAUUGUUUGUUUAUAAGGGUUGCGAUGCAUCAAUACUGUUGGAUUCGACAGCAGUUAAGGGAAAAAACAGAAAAAACAGCAGCUCCAAAUCUGCCUCUAGAGGGAUUCGAUGUCAUAGAGGAGAUCAAAACCCAACUAGAGGAAACCUGUCCUGUCAAAGACAUCAUUGUGGAAAGUACUGACUGGAAGAAGAGAUGGAAAAAUUUCCAUUGCCUCAGAGGCCCUGGCCAACCUCAUUUCUCCAUUUUCCAACUUCAACACCCUCAAAAAAGGUUUCGAAAAAAAGAGUCUCACAGUUCAUGAUCUUGUUGUUUUAUCAGGUGAUAUAUCAAUUAAUUACAGGUAACCGGAUUGCCCACCAUAGCAGGACCGUGUAUAUAUAUAUAUAUAUAUACAGAUUCAAGAAGGUUUUACUGAAUAAAGAUGAAAGUUUGAUUAAAAAAAAAAAAAAAAAAUUUGAGAAAUUGGGUAUGCA
Molecule: RNA transcript, 3455 nt
Organism: Ziziphus jujuba (common jujube)
Lineage: Eukaryota; Viridiplantae; Streptophyta; Magnoliopsida; Rosales; Rhamnaceae
Gene name: peroxidase 56-like
Exons: 4
Source: RefSeq, a predicted model, not a curated record